Molecule: long non-coding RNA, 1592 nt
Filed under: Heterocephalus glaber (naked mole-rat)
Lineage: Eukaryota; Metazoa; Chordata; Mammalia; Rodentia; Bathyergidae
Description: lncRNA (ENSHGLG00100033638.1)
Source: RNAcentral
CUUUUUAAAGUGUUUUAUUUUGAGAUAAGAUCAUGCUCAAAACUUUCCAUGGUCCUGCCUUAGCUCUCCAAAGUGCUGGGAUUACAAGCCUGUUCCACCAGUCCUGGCUAUCUUUCUCCUCUUCACUGUUUUUCACGAAGACAAAAAAGAAAGAAAGAAAGAAAGAAAGAAAGAAAGAAAGAAAGAAAGAAAGAAAGAAAGAAAGAAAGGAAGAAAGAAAGAAAACAAACGAAGACUAAGAGCUCUGUAGGACCUCAGGACAGAGGGCAGAAAAUCUUCAAGUAGGAUGGAUUCUUACAAAGUGCUGGAGCAUUCUUCGGCAGAGAAGAGAGUAUGGAAAUCAUGGGCAGAAUGCCUGUUUCACCAGGUGAUCUCUUCCACACUGCACUGUGAUGCCAUCUGUCAUGAGACUCUCACUAGAGUGUAGCAGAAGCCUGUGACAUGCUUUUAAACCUCCAGAACUGUAAGGAAAGUGGCAACAGAGAAUUUUAGUCCCUCCUGAGCCUGGUGUAGCCAAGGUACGUUCCUGGCAUAUGUGACUGUGAAGAGGUCACCGAAGAGUCUGGACACCAUGCACAACCCCAGUGCUCUGUGGCUGAUCAGACAAUCUGGACUUCUCAAGCAAUGACAGGUAAAGGAACCACCAGGGGGUCAGGGGCAAGCCAUCUGCUGUCAUUUUUAUUUGCAGUAAACCAGAGUCAGGACACACACAUACUGAGCAAGUCCAUGGCACUGUAUGCAGGCAGAGAGGCAGGCUUGAGCAGGCAACUGCCUUUAUAGAACAACAUAUCUGCAGCUGGGGGCAGCGGGGGAAUGGGGGAGCAGGGAAGGAAGGCUCUGGGUCCUGGCACUGUGCUAAUUAGUUACUGCCACGGUCCUGGCUGGUAAAGUCUGCAUUUAUAGGAACUAGAGUUAGCCCUGUGACUGGAGAAGAACAAUAGGUUAGGCCCUUUAGCUUUAACCUGUGCCCAAGGUUACCCCCAAACAUGGAGGGCCAGCUGAGGACCCGAAAGUGGGAGCAGUGCUUUUGCAUUGUGGGAUCAAAUCCUCUCCCAACACAUCGGCAACAGGAAAGGGAAAAAGGGUUGAUACACAGAAAGGAAAAUGUUUACAUUUUGGUUCAGGCGUGUGUGUGUGUGUGUGUGUGUGCCUGCCUGUGUGUACAUGAGUGUGUGUAGGAGUGGAGGGCUCACUGAAGGGUUACAUUGUAGUGUUUCACGCUGACUCCCCCCAGCAGCUGAUUUCUGAGUAUGAUCAAUUCUGCUUUUUAUUAGACCAAAGGGAAGUCAAUUCUUAAGAGGGAAAGAAAGUAGAUUCUUAGCUGAGGGGUUGAGCUGAGCCCUCUUGGGUCAGCAGGCCUGGGGGAACCCUAGGCCUGGUAGAGACCCACAAGGACAGGGACCCUGGCUUCUGUCCUAUGGCUGCAGCAUGUACCCCAGGGAAGGCAAGAUCACUGAAGCAGGAUGGUCUUCAGAGCCCCCUUGUUUGGCAGGUGGUAGAAAGAGAGGUCCCAGCAAGAUAAAGGAUAUAUCCAAGACCACAAGGCCGAGGCAGGACUAUAGCCCACUCCCUGUGUUACUCUUAAACUUCUG